GACAGAGGUCCCGAGCGUUAGGCGGAAUCACUGGGCUUAAAGCGUGUGUAGGCGGAUCGUUAAGUACCUUGUGAAAUCCCACGGCUUAACCGUGGAACGGCUUGGUAUACUGGCGGUCUUGAGCCACUUAGGGGCUACCGGAACAAAUGGUGGAGCGGUGAAAUGCGUAGAUAUCAUUUGGAACGCCAAUGGUGAAAACAGGUAGCUGGGAGUGUGCCGACGCUGAGACACGAAAGCCAGGGGAGCAAACGGG
RNAcentral lists this ribosomal RNA (253 nucleotides) under uncultured bacterium. Its description in RNAcentral is "partial 16S ribosomal RNA". It matches the Rfam family "Bacterial small subunit ribosomal RNA", at positions 524 to 776 of the family's 1533-position model. The record is from RNAcentral.